CCCCGGCCUACGUUGGCUAAAACGUCAAGGUGUGACCGGGCCUUAAGGUUCUGCUUAUUCUCCGAGUUUGGCAAGUUGUACGUGAAGGUGUCAUGUUAAUCUAAGUAUGGCGUAUAGGCAAUGUGGUUGUGCUGUUGCAAUAAUUAAUAUUGCCAUAUAGGUGGUGCAUUAGUGCUAUUUCAUGCUUAUACAGUCUUUAAUGCUUGGGGCUCUUCUUAAAAAAAAAAAGAAAGAAAGAAAGAAAGAAAGAAAUAUGAUUUGGGAGUGAGUCCCAGUUUCUCAAUAUUUUCCAGCACUCAGUCUGUGGAAUGUUUCUAUUUGCUAUCACAACACUUCUGUAUUUUAUAUGCAAGGUAGUCGGAGAGGAUAUUUUGGGGGAAAUAGUGAGAAGGAAGAUGCAUAUUUUGAGAUUGGUCUUUACUGAUGGUGUUAAUUUUUCUUUUUAUUUUACAGAUGGAAACAACUCUGUCAGCUUGCAGAUGACUACUUUUGAGGGGUCUGCAGAAGACAGCAUGCAAGGGCGAAAUAUGCACAGAAAUGCGUGCUGUGAAACACGCCGAAUGAACCACCAGUUUUUCUUCAAAAGACCUCAAGAAAUGGAGUCCAACAAUCUAACGCAAGUGGAAAAUGAUUACAAUGAUUGUCUUGGUAAUGACAAUUACGAAAUGCUUGUGCCAAAUCAAGGACAGAAGGAGGAAAAUGUGCAAUGCACACCGAUGCUGCAAGUAGGAAUGAGAAGCAACGAUAGGACCGUGACUGAAUGUGAUAAAAAUGUCAGUCAGGAUGAGCCGACAACUCGAGCAGAACCAGAAAACACUUCGUCACAGCCAUCGUCAAACCGAAGCAGCAAAGCUGCAGCAAACAGUGGUCACAGUUUUGAAAGUCCAGCAGCAGCUGAAGGAGGGAUGGAAGAGGAAGUGAGUGGGCAGGGCUCAAUGGGAGAGAAUGAAAUAUUUAAUGAAGCAGAGGCAAUAGUUAUUGCAGAAAAGCUGGGUAUGAAAUUUAUGCUUCAGGAAGAGGAAGCUUUUCCGAACACAAUUAAUGAAGACAAGGAUUUGGACAGAAACCAAGGUAAGAUGCUUCUUUUAUGUUUGCUAACAAAACUGUGCAUUAUUUAUCAUAGUACAGCGGAUAAGCACAAUAAUUGUGCGUUUUAUGAGAAAAGCAUGAAUUUUCUGACAUAGUUAGUGAAUACCAUAAGGUAUAUUUUCAGAUGUGGAGGGAAGUCAGAUUUGACCUCUGAGGACCGUGAGAGGUCAAAUCCAAGAUGGCCACCAGUCCACCGGGUCUAAUGUUCAAACGCGCUUAAUUUUGGAACCAAACAGUGUCGAAAAACAUUUAAGGUGUCAUUUCCAACUAAAUUGGGGAUGCCCAUUCAUUUGAUGAUACGUUUGAAAUCACCAGCAUUCAAGGAAAUGCAUUUAGGUCAAGGUCAAGGUAAAAAUUGACCAAAAAUAAGCAAUCAGUUUAAAUUUGCAAAUGAACCCCCAGUGGUGUCUCAUGUUUGAGAUGUCAUUUUAAACGAAUCUUCAGAUGCCCAUAUAUUUGAUGUUAAUUUACAGGUUGCCAGAAGAGGUCAUACAUUGAGGUCAAGGUCAAGACUGAAGUAUCCCAAGUAUGCCGAUAUCUGAAAAUAAUCAAGAUUAAGUCAAAACAGAAGGCAAAGCUCGCAGCACUGAAGAGUGCCUGUGGUCUCUUUUCGAGACUGUACAUCUGUCAAACACGAGAUGAAAACAUGGACAGUUUCUUCUUCUAUGAAAACCAUGCAGCCCCACUAGCUCUGUCAACUGGAGGAAAAAUGUGGAUUGGGGUUAAAGCAGAUCUACUUCGCUGCCUGGAAUCAGAUCUGCUCAAAAACGAUAGUGCGCCUGUGGCUUAUGCAACAACUCUCUAUGGUGCAGCUGUGGUUCAAAUGCUAAAUCCUGGAACAUCAAGAACAUUUCAAGAGUAUAGAGAAAGAGUGUUUGCACCAUACCUCUCUGCUCAACUUGAGAAAAGCAGCCGCAUCGACCUUGUCUGGGAUGUAUACCGACCUGCCAGGCUGAAAGCCUCAACCAGACAGAAGAGGGGAAAGGGCACCAGGAAAAGGAUGGCUCCUUCUACUGUGAUGCCAAAGAAAUGAAAGGACUUCCUUCGAUGCAAUGAGAAGG
Molecule: long non-coding RNA, 2150 nt
Filed under: Eptatretus burgeri (inshore hagfish)
Lineage: Eukaryota; Metazoa; Chordata; Myxini; Myxiniformes; Myxinidae
Description: lncRNA (ENSEBUG00000017448.1)
Source: RNAcentral